UGGGAACAGCAGACUGGUAUAGGGAUUGAUUGAAUAUGUCCGUAAACACACCGGCCAGCUGGUCUGCGCAUGCUCUGAGGGCGCGGCUGGGGAUGCCGUCUGGGCCUGCAGCCUUGCGAGGGUUAACACGUUUAAAUGUCUUACUCACUUCGGCUGCAGUGAAGGAGAGACCGCAUGUUUCCGUUGCAGGCCGUGUCAGUGGCACUGCAACAACGGGGUCACCCUCCGUCUCAACCCAGACCUUACACCCCACCCACUAGGCCUCAAUGCACAGGGAACUGUGGAAACGGCCAGAGCGGUCAUAGAGACCAGAGAGCGUUGGAGAGCUCCGACUCCACAGAGAGAGAUGGUCAGGCUGUGUAGUUACAGAUGACAGUAAUAGCCAGGCUAGGGUUAUAGGCGAUCGGUACGUCCCACCUCGUCCUCUGUCUGAAUCACAGAGCUCUGUGGUCCACCAACAACAAAUGGCAGCCACCAGAACACAAGCAACACAAGAAACACGAGGAAUGGGGACACAGACUGUCACCAACAUCACCUCGAAAUGUCCAACAUGUCAUACCGAUCCCAACCACCAGAGGGCAGGCCAGUCACAGAGAUGAGUCUAUGAGACAACAGACAGACAGAGCAUUAUCAGACAGAUCCAGGAGGGAGGGAGAAGAGCACACGCCCUGGAGAAAAUCAACAGCCAGAGAGCUCAAGGCUGGACCUGGGCACCACCCAUCAAUCAUCCCUUUAAACAAGUGUCGUAACACUAACACGGAGAAUAGAGUGCAUUCAGAGACCCACUACCUCUGUACUAGACGCUCCCCUCGUCACCAAUGAUGUAAAAGUUUGUUGCAGUUUUCUUACGGACCAAGAUUCAUGAUGGUGGUAGUUUUUUUGUUAUUUUCAGUGGUAUUUUGAAAAUGGAUGUUGCUCCCUAAUGAUGUUUUUCUCUCUUCCAUCCAGACUUGAGAGGUAAGCAGCUGCAGCAUAAAGGACAGGAAGAAGAAUAAGAGGUACAGGGGAGGAGACCUUCCAGAUGAGAGAGAGAGGAGAAAAGGAGGUCACUGCUGAGAGCAUAGUUAACAGGCUUUCAGAGGAGGUUGAGACACUUCAGGAAAGAGCAGGCGUUCUGCUCAUGCUGAAGCAGAGGAAAAAGAUUAGUGAAAAGGGAAGGAGAGGAGAGAGGUGGGUAGGACAGGAGAGGAGGGGAGGUCAAAUCCCGAGGUAUCCCUUUAAGAGUUGUGAACAACACUAGCAACUACAGUACAUCCCUUUACCACAGGAUCUGUUUCUGCAUAUUUAAACAUUUAUAACAAUGCCCUUGGGAUUCUACAUUAAAACAAAAGCCAGACAUUGCAAGAUAAUCCGUUUAUUUAUUUUCCCCCGAUACAUAUUCAAGUUUCUCAUGAAUAUAUUUACUUUGAUAGAAUAUAAAUUCUAGUAAACCGUUUACAGCAACAAUAAUCAAAUGUAUACUAUACAGCGCUGGAUAAAUAUUUCUUUUAAAUCUUCACUAGCUCUUCUUCAUAACCUAGAAUAGAAACACUGCACUUAAUUUGUUUUCACAUAGAAAAAAUUGCACCCGUUCACCAUAAACACAUUGGAUGACCCCAUUUAGGAGUUAAAGCAAAGAAGGCAAUAUAAUAAUAACACGAUGGGUUGUCAAGCGGUUGUGACCGUCUUAAAAUCAAAAGUGCAUUCUAGAACCACAACACAUCAAAUAACCUGUUUGACACUAUCUCAUUUACAUGUUUGUUACAUGACGACCGUGUUGUCGCCUCUGUGACGGGGAUGUGCAAUAAAGUGUUGUUUCCCUAAAAGAAAACACUAACUAUCUGUGAUAGUAAAAGCAAAACGUUAUUCUGUCUUCCAGUGAACCUCCAGUUUAGUCCUAUUUAUAGUAUCCUCUCUUUUCUAAUCACAUUUCUAAUCAAAUACUCAAAUAUUGAUAAUAAAUACUCAAUAAUCCAAUAUUGAUACUGUUGUUCCAAUGAACUGGCAAAACACACCUAGUGAUAACUUGAAAUGCUGUCAUUUCAUUUCAGUCUAAAGAAAAUCCUAUUUGAAUUCACAAUAGUAGCUAUCUAUCUGGUUUUGUCACUGACAGUAAUACACAGACAUAUUCUCAGCGACGUUAUGUUGACCACUUUCAACGAGAGUCUGCUACACACAAAUCUUGUACUCAAGUACUCAACUAAAAAUGUGUCACCUUACAUAGUUUAGCGAUAUAUAAAAUGACAUGAGCAAGUACAGUACAGUACUCCUCGAACCUUUAGAACACGAGAACCCUGGCUCUUUCACGUGAAGAGUAAUGCAUUGCGAUUUGUACAUAAGGCUGUGGAGGAAGACACAACGUAAAAUGGAGACGAAAUAGGACAUUCUUUCUGACAUUGUUUUCCCAAAGGGCAACUAUGUGUGUAGUUAACUGACUAAACUGUCCAUUUCAAUGUAUGGGUAUUCUCUCUGAUGGUCUGAGUAACCCAAUGAAUAGUCUAGUCAACAUUUAUCAAUAAAAACAUUUGUGCAACUUCUGAAAUAAAAUUGAAAAAGGCUAUCAUCACGACUCCUUCAUACAUUUCACUUCAGUACAGGCACCGG
Oncorhynchus tshawytscha (Chinook salmon) is the source of this 2583-nucleotide long non-coding RNA. The record is from Ensembl. Lineage: Eukaryota; Metazoa; Chordata; Actinopteri; Salmoniformes; Salmonidae.